AACGAACGCUGGCGGCAGGCCUAACACAUGCAAGUCGAGCGCCCUUUCGGGGGAGCGGCGGACGGGUGAGUAACGCGUGGGAAUAUGCCCUUCUCUACGGAAUAGCCUCGGGAAACUGAGAGUAAUACCGUAUACGCCCUGGGGGGGAAAGAUUUAUCGGGGAAGGAUUAGCCCGCGUUGGAUUAGGUAGUUGGUGGGGUAAUGGCCUACCAAGCCGACGAUCCAUAGCUGGUUUGAGAGGAUGAUCAGCCACACUGGGACUGAGACACGGCCCAGACUCCUACGGGAGGCAGCAGUGGGGAAUCUUAGACAAUGGGGGCAACCCUGAUCUAGCCAUGCCGCGUGAGUGAUGAAGGCCUUAGGGUUGUAAAGCUCUUUCAGCUGGGAAGAUAAUGACGGUACCAGCAGAAGAAGCCCCGGCUAACUCCGUG
RNAcentral lists this ribosomal RNA (431 nucleotides) under uncultured bacterium. Its description in RNAcentral is "partial 16S ribosomal RNA". It matches the Rfam family "Bacterial small subunit ribosomal RNA", at positions 29 to 507 of the family's 1533-position model. The record is from RNAcentral.